Molecule: ribosomal RNA, 443 nt
Filed under: uncultured bacterium
Lineage: Bacteria
Description: partial 16S ribosomal RNA
Rfam family: Bacterial small subunit ribosomal RNA
Source: RNAcentral
CCUACGGGAGGCAGCAGUGGGGAAUAUUGGACAAUGGGGGGAACCCUGAUCCAGCGACGCCGCGUGAGUGAAGAAGUAUUUCGGUAUGUAAAGCUCUAUCAGCAGGGAAGAAAGAAAUGACGGUACCUGACUAAGAAGCCCCUGCUAACUACGUGCCAGCAGCCGCGGUAAUACGUAGGGGGCAAGCGUUAUCCGGAUUUACUGGGUGUAAAGGGAGCGUAGACGGCGAUGCAAGUCUGAAGUGAAAGGCGGGGGCUCAACCCCGGGACUGCUUUGGAAACUGUAUGGCUGGAGUGCAGGAGAGGUAAGUGGAAUUCCUAGUGGAGCGGUGAAAUGCGGAGAUAUUAGGAGGAACACCAGGGGCGAAGGCGGCUUACUGGACUGUAACUGACGUUGAGGCUCGAAAGCGUGGGGAGCAAACAGGAUUAGAUACCCCUGUAGUC